UGGAACUCACAGAGAUCCGCCUGCCUCUGCCUCCCGAGUGCUGGGAUUAAAGAAAGGCAUGCACUACCAGCCUGGCAUUAAUUGGGUUCUUUAAACAUAGUUUUGUAGUAAGAAUGUGGAACUGUCACCAGAGCUGGGUUCUACUCUUAACUCUGCCGUUAGCUUGUUGUGGAGCAAAAUUCUCCUCCCCUAAACUCAAGCUUCUAUUUCUGUGGACCGAUAGACCGGGGGUGCCCCUGCUUCUGUGGACCGAUAGGCCGGGGGGUGCCGCUGCUUCUCUGGAGCCACGGCAGCCAGCAGUGGGCGGGGCAAUCCAGCCGCAGAGCACGCAGCAAGUGUGCUGUGGUCCUUGAUGUCAAGGGUCACUGGACAGAAUUCCCAGGCUUGAGAGCGCUUUUCCAGCCGGCUACAGGAAGCCAGACUAUGUGGGACGGGGCCUGGAGGCGAGAAGGCCAUAGAGGCAAGUGGACUGGCGGUGGGUGGCCUGGCCCCUGAGCCUGGACUUACCUUGGACUCACCUGCUAGCCUAGGCUUCAGGUGCGAGCAUGUGGCUUGAGAGCUGGCGAAUGGCCCCUGGUACGACCAAGAGGGUCAAGGUUUGUUUGCACCCUCAGCCAUGGAAACGCCUGGCUGUCUGGUCUUCCGCAGACCUGCACUUUGCAAAGAUAAAGGUUGGGGCCAGGAGAAGAUUUCCAGGUUGUUGAUGGGAACCCACUGAAGAAGGUCCUUCGUCAUCCUGCGGGAAUCUCUCUGGGAGACCCCGUCUCAUCCCUGAGAUGUCCGGAGUUCACUGAUUUGCCCAUAACUGCUGUGCCUCCUGUGUUCUAGGCUGGGCAGGCACAAGGCUGCAGCGGUCACCGGGGCUGGUCUUCGGUCCUCACUACUCUGUU
Molecule: non-coding RNA, 890 nt
Organism: Peromyscus maniculatus bairdii (prairie deer mouse)
Lineage: Eukaryota; Metazoa; Chordata; Mammalia; Rodentia; Cricetidae
Source: RefSeq, a predicted model, not a curated record